AACGCUGGCGGCAGGCCUAACACAUGCAAGUCGAGCGAGAAAGUACUUCGGUACGAGUAAAGCGGCGGACGGGUGAGUAACGCGUAGGAAUCUACCUGGUAGUGGGGGACAACAUGUGGAAACGCAUGCUAAUACCGCAUACGACCUAAGGGUGAAAGUGGGGGACCUUCGGGCCUCACGCUAUCGGAUGAGCCUGCGUAAGAUUAGCUAGUUGGUGAGGUAAGAGCUCACCAAGGCGACGAUCUUUAGCUGGUCUGAGAGGAUGGUCAGCCACACUGGGACUGAGACACGGCCCAGACUCCUACGGGAGGCAGCAGUGGGGAAUAUUGCGCAAUGGAGGAAACUCUGACGCAGCCAUGCCGCGUGUGUGAAGAAGGCCUUAGGGUUGUAAAGCACUUUCAAUUGGGAAGAAAGGUUGUACGUUAAUAGCGUGCAGCUGUGACAUUACCUUUAGAAGAAGCACCGGCUAACUCCGUGCCAGCAGCCGCGGUAAUACGGAGGGUGCGCGCGUUAAUCGGAAUUACUGGGCGUAAAGCGCGCGUAGGCGGUUUGUUAGGUCGGAUGUGAAAGCCCUGGGCUCA
This 581-nucleotide ribosomal RNA is filed under the name uncultured Gammaproteobacteria bacterium. RNAcentral describes it as "bacterial SSU rRNA". It matches the Rfam family "Bacterial small subunit ribosomal RNA", at positions 32 to 611 of the family's 1533-position model. Lineage: Bacteria; Pseudomonadati; Pseudomonadota; Gammaproteobacteria. The record is from RNAcentral.